This 498-nucleotide ribosomal RNA is filed under the name uncultured bacterium. RNAcentral's name for it is "bacterial SSU rRNA". It matches the Rfam family "Bacterial small subunit ribosomal RNA", at positions 30 to 517 of the family's 1533-position model. The record is from RNAcentral.
AUUGAACGCUGGCGGCAUGCCUUACACAUGCAAGUCGAACGGCAGCACGGGAGCAAUCCUGGUGGCGAGUGGCGAACGGGUGAGUAAUAUAUCGGAACGUGCCCAGUCGUGGGGGAUAACGCAGCGAAAGCUGUGCUAAUACCGCAUACGAUCUACGGAUGAAAGCGGGGGAUCGCAAGACCUCGCGCGAUUGGAGCGGCCGAUAUCAGAUUAGCUAGUUGGUGGGGUAAAAGCCCACCAAGGCGACGAUCUGUAGCUGGUCUGAGAGGACGACCAGCCACACUGGAACUGAGACACGGUCCAGACUCCUACGGGAGGCAGCAGUGGGGGAUUUUGGACAAUGGGCGCAAGCCUGAUCCAGCAAUGCCGCGUGCAGGAUGAAGGCCUUCGGGUUGGUAAACUGCUUUGUUACGGAACGAAACGGUUACUUUCUAAUAAAGAGGGCUAAUGACGGUACCGUAAGAAUAAGCACCGGCGUAACUAACGUGCCAGCAGCCG